RNAcentral lists this ribosomal RNA (680 nucleotides) under Arthrobacter sp. Its description in RNAcentral is "bacterial SSU rRNA". It matches the Rfam family "Bacterial small subunit ribosomal RNA", at positions 329 to 1016 of the family's 1533-position model. The record is from RNAcentral. Lineage: Bacteria; Bacillati; Actinomycetota; Actinomycetes; Micrococcales; Micrococcaceae.
GCCCAGACUCCUACGGGAGGCAGCAGUGGGGAAUAUUGCACAAUGGGCGGAAGCCUGAUGCAGCGACGCCGCGUGAGGGAUGACGGCCUUCGGGUUGUAAACCUCUUUCAGUAGGGAAGAAGCCGUAAGGUGACGGUACCUGCAGAAGAAGCGCCGGCUAACUACGUGCCAGCAGCCGCGGUAAUACGUAGGGCGCAAGCGUUAUCCGGAAUUAUUGGGCGUAAAGAGCUCGUAGGCGGUUUGUCGCGUCUGCCGUGAAAGUCCGGGGCUCAACUCCGGGUCUGCGGUGGGUACGGGCAGACUAGAGUGAUGUAGGGGAGACUGGAAUUCCUGGUGUAGCGGUGAAAUGCGCAGACAUCAGGAGGAACACCGAUGGCGAAGGCAGGUCUCUGGGCAUUAACUGACGCUGAGGAGCGAAAGCAUGGGGAGCGAACAGGAUUAGAUACCCUGGUAGUCCAUGCCGUAAACGUUGGGCACUAGGUGUGGGGGACAUUCCACGUUUUCCGCGCCGUAGCUAACGCAUUAAGUGCCCCGCCUGGGGAGUACGGCCGCAAGGCUAAAACUCAAAGGAAUUGACGGGGGCCCGCACAAGCGGCGGAGCAUGCGGAUUACUUCGAUGCAACGGGAAGAACCUGACCAACGCUUUACAUGGCCUGGAAAUACCUGGAAACAGGUGCCCC